RNAcentral lists this long non-coding RNA (594 nucleotides) under Callithrix jacchus (white-tufted-ear marmoset). Its description in RNAcentral is "lncRNA (ENSCJAG00000079082.1)". Lineage: Eukaryota; Metazoa; Chordata; Mammalia; Primates; Cebidae. The record is from RNAcentral.
ACUAAUGAUCCUCCUCCUGAUCUACCUUCAUUCCUUCUUAUUGCUUCUAAAUUUAUAACCAGACUAAAAUCGCAACAAGAUUCAAAGGGCGAGACACAAAAUGUGACCAGUGAGGAGAAAGAGACACCACCCUGGGUGAAGCAGUUCUCUUUUGCUGAACCAUCAGUGCUGGUUGCUGGCAGGAACAGCCUUUUGUUCUUGAACUUUAAACUAAAAGAUGUCAAGAGAAAGAAGGUAUGUAUGGCAGGCCAGGGAAGGGAAGGACAAUGGGAAGAGGGUGGGCAGUCAAAUAUUUAUUUAAUGUAUUUUGAGUGCUAAGUUUGUACAAUGUGUGGUGUGAAAACGUGGGAAUCACAGUAAAAAUUAUGGUGCCUCUAGAGCUCAGACAAUCAUACCCCUAAAUGAUGGCAUCAGCAGCAGCCUCAGAAGCAAAAGUUUUUCUCUAACCUCUUGCUCACCUGCCCCUCAAUCCAUUCUCCUGCAAGGCUAACCAUAGAAACUAGAAUUCCUUUUCCCCAAGAAUUGUCACAGAAACCAGAAUCCCUUUUCCCCAAAGCCAGCCAUAAAAGUUUUUAUUUUUAGGAAAAAAAUAUU